UCAACUUCAACUCAAAUAUUGUCCAGAUGCUUACUCUUCACAAACUUGUAGGUAGUUGUUUUCAACCUCAAACGCCUGCGAAUUUUCACUUUAGUUAAAAAGGUAAUUUUAGCGCAGAUAAUCAGAAUAUUUAACAAGAAAGAGAUGAACAAGAAGUGAAUAUAUGAUGGGAAUUCUUGAGAUUCUCCACCCAAAAAUAUGCUCUUCUUUUUUUUUCUAAACCCAAAAUAUAUAUAUUCUAUGCCCCUUUUUUGGUCCCAAGAGCCAAAUGCUGGCAUUCAAUUUUAUUUUCCUUGAAUAUUCUCGUGGAUUGUUUGAAGGGGAAAAAGAAUGAAAGUGACAAACUGUUUUGUUUGACUUUAGAGAUAGGUACCAAAAUUCUUUACUCUUUAUCUUUUUAUCACUUAAUUUGUGCACUUUCAAAGAACAACAUUAUUUCAGGUGUGGAAUUUAGUGUUGAGGAGGUAAACAUUUUUCUAAAACUGAUUUUAUAUCAAAUCAGCAAAUCUUAGACCCUUGACCUAUUGAAUUAUUGUGGUUUUGCAUCAUUAAAAUAUAUGUAUACCAAAACCAUCAAAGCUUGGAAAAUUCAUGAAUUCUUGCCCAACUAAUUACUCUGUUUAAAAGGAGUACUAUGCUUUCUGUCAGAGUAGGGAGGUAUAGAAGAUAUUUUAUUAUUUAUUUUGUUUAAAAAAACUGCUUUAAAAGGGUACUAUAUUUUUCCUUCUUUUUUGCCAGUUUUAAUAUUUUAUAUUAACAUCGUAAAGACAAAAGAUAGCAAGGAAUGACCUAUAUUUUUUUUGUUUUUUUUUGUUUAGUAUGAACAAAGUAGCAUCCACGUGUUAGAUCACUGGUUUUAUUAUAGUUAAUAGGGAAAAAAGUUAUCUCAAUUAUAAUAUGGGUCUCAUCGAGUAACUAUUUUUCUAAAAAAAUACUAGAAAACUUUAAUUUCUUAAAGUUGCAAUACUCUCCUCCCUUUCACGUUUUAACUAAUUUCUGCGAAGACUAUUUGAGAACUGAAUCACCACGAUUAGAUUUAAUUUCUAUCUUAGCUUAACUCAUACUAUUAAGAUAUUUACUAACGCAAUUGAUUCGGCUUCUGGAUCUCUAAUGAAGACUGAACGAAUUUCAAGCAUCUCAUUACACUCUUUCGUAAUUAAGAAAUUAAUUUUAAUCUGGGUUGCCAUGAAUAUCACCACAUACCAAUACGUCAUGCAUUUUUUCUUUUUAUUUAUUUAUGAAAGAUCCUUUUUUUUCCUUUUCAUUUUUGUAUAUGCUGGUUGUCAUAAAGUCGGGCUAGUUCCACAGCAUCACGUCAAUAUUGGGCGGCAAUGUAAAGCACGAAUAAUGCUCUAUCUUUCUAUAAUUCAUCACCGUCCAUAAAACAACAUUCGUUCUGCUUCAUCUUCUUCUUCUUUUCUUCUUUCUUUAUCCUAUUUUCAUAAUAAUACCUUAAAAGACUUUGAGAAGUAGCACUUUCCCUUUCCAAUUGGGCUAUGCUGGUUAGGGGUGUACAUAAUUCGGGCUGGUUCAGAUUUUAUAAUUAUCAAAGCAAACUAAUUAUAUCGGGUUAUUAAAUUUAAAGACCAAAUCAAACCAAUAAAAAUUGGGUUUUUUAAUCUCGAUUUUUCUUAGUUUUUUCGGAUUAUUCCGUGUUAUUUAAUAAACAUAAUAUAAAAGUACUAGUCAUGCUAAAAUAAGUAUGACUAAUAAGUACUAUUAAUUACAUGAUUAAACACUAAAGAAAAAAAUAAAAAUAAGUUAUGCAUUUUAUCUAAACCAUGGAAAAACUAUUGUCAUUCCUAGUAUUGAAUUAAGAGAAAUUUUCAUAAGCACUAUCUUUUAGUGGUAAUUAGCUAUCUAUAGAUAUCAUUUGCUAUAUUACGGAUUGUAGAUACAUUUUCUGUUGUUAUAAGAUGUAUUAAAUGUAUUUAAGCUAUUGUAUUCAUGAAUACAAUAGCAAAAAUAGGCGUGAAUCAGGGAAGUCCAGCUAAUCAGUUGUUGUAUUCGAGUGUAUUCGACUGUAUUCAUGGCGUGAAAUAUGGGAUUACAGCUGGACAAAUUAUUGUAUUCGACUGUAUUCACGGCGUGAAACAGGGAGUUACACUGUUUUUUAAACGGAAGGUGAAUCAAUUAACAUAAUGGACUCCUAAUAUAACUCAACAAACUCAAUUAUAACACACAAAUUUUGUAUUUUUCAGUUAUAAAAAAGAUUCUCAACCGAAUAAUACCCCAAAAAUAUAGCAAUCUUCAGAGAAAUUAUAUAAUAUAUCUGAAUACAUAAAUUAUAUUAGUUAAAAAAUAUAUGAAUGCAUUCAUGGCAUAUAGCGAGACAGUAAAUACAAUAAAAUACAUAGAAUACAACGGGAUACAUUGAAAUACAAUAAAAAAAGACAGUGAAUACAAUGAAAUACAUGGAAUACAACGAGAUACAUUGAAUUACAAUGAAAAAAAGACAAUAAAUACAAUGAAAUACAUAAAAAUAUAGCUUGAUACGUUAAAAAUACAUUGAAAUACAGCAUGAUACGUUGAAAGAGUAAACGACAAAAAUCUGUUGUGUUUACUUAGUUAAGAAGAAGAGAUGAUUGAUUGAGAAAAUCCAUUUACAAUUAACAACUCCACCUACCAAUCUCCAAAAAUAAACGACAAAACACCGUCGUUUUAACCUUCUCCGAUCACUGUUACAGUGGUGAACGGUUACGUGUAAUUACCAACUGGGUUGUUGAAUAAACUCAUUAAACAAAGUCUCUGUUUGAAAAGCUGAAUUUUUCAACUGUUUGGUGAAAGCAAAAAUCUUGAAUAGCCGAUCCUAACUAAUUUUUGUCACACCUCCUUUUCACUACCCCCGCAAGGGGUAUAAGGGAGUUUUUCCAAUUAAAGUGACAAUCUAAACGGGAUUAUCUAUUUAUAAUUCAGAGUCGUCAUUUGGGAUAAUUUAUGGUGUCCCGAGUCACCGGUUUAAAUCCCGAAUCGAGGAAAGAUUGACUCUGUUUUACAGUCCACAAAACACAGAAAUCGGGGUAAGGAAUUUUAUUAACCUGGGAGAAGGUGUUAGACAUUCUCGAGUUCCGUGAUUUUAGCACGGUCGCUCAACUGCUAUUAUUGCCCUAUUAUCUGAUUUUAAUACACUUUUAAACCUAUGUGCAUUUUUACUUUAAAACCGCUUUUAUUUAUUAUUUUUUAGGAAGAUUCAACGUUAUUUAAAAUACGCCUUUAACCACGCCACAAGAAAUGCACCCAUGGCCCAGGACACAUUUUAUUUAACGUUGUUGAGAAUUGGAGUUGGGUCACAUGAAAUGCACACCCGAGUUUAAGGAAAUUAAUUUAAAUAGCGCGCCUAAAGCGACUGCGCACUUCCAAGUUUGCGAGGGCCAUGGAAAAUUCAACUAAUGGCACACCUCGAUUUCUAAAGAGUUAUUAUUUUUCUAAGUUAAGAUUAUUGUAAGUUACGAAGGAUAUGGAAUUAUUGUGGAAGAAAUGAGUGAUUUUAGCUAUUAUGAAUUUAUUUUAAAAGAUACUUAAAACUAAAGUUAUUGUUACAACCCAACAAUUCACGCUUAUAUCUUCUUACUAAUUGAAAUACAUUGUUAAAGCAAAACACUUAUUUUAGUUAAAAAAACUUUUAGCAUGGGAAAUGAUUCACUGCUUAGAAGAACAGAUGCAAAUAUCAUAUAAACUAAACAAAGCUUUAAUGACACACCCGAACAUGAAAUAAACCAAACGAAAAGGAUUUCCACGCCAAACCAAUUAGCAUUCUUCAUUUUUAUAGUUUUGGGGUUAAAAAAAUUAAGCGCUUACAAUCCUUAACAACAAAGUUAAUGGAACACAUAAUAUUCCACCACACAAUACGAUAGAAAUUUACCAACACAAACAAUCCGAAAGACAACCAUAACAGAUUGAGAAAUUUAACCAAGCAUGAUCUUCCGAGCAAAAUAGUAAAGAAGAAAACAACGGACCUUUGAAACCUUUUAAUAUAUUAAAGAUCUUCCAACUGGUUUACAAGAAGAACGCGACAUGUAGUUGAACAUGAGCAGACCGUAAGCAGGAGACCACAACGGAACCUCGAUUCUACCCGUAAACCUCAAACUACGACCUCAAACGACAUCAACACCUCAAUUUCGAUACAACUCGGCAGAAACAAAUUUCAGCAGUUUCGACGACUAUCGCUGGUUUUAUGUUCGUUCGACGUCGAUGGUGUGACUCUGGCAAAACAAAGAAGUCGAGGGGAAAGAAAGGUCAGAAACAGCGGCUAAGCACAAGAGUGAUAGUCAUAGCCGUCGCCGGUCAUCACCUCCGGCAACGGCAACCAUGGAAAGGGUGAGAGCUGGCCGGUUUCCGGCAACGGCAGCUAAGAAGCUUGAAAGUCUGGUGUGUCACUGUUUUCUGGCGUUCUUUGUGUGUGUGUACGUUUAUAUGGGUGUGUGUUGUUUUGGGUGCUCAAGGUUUGAAGAUGGUGAAGAUGGUGAAGAACGAUGGGGGAGGUCGUGUAUCUGAUUCUCUAAAGAAGAAGUAGGACGAUCGGAAGGGAUCCUUCUAAAACGGCGGAUAAUUUUUUUU
This 4557-nucleotide long non-coding RNA is filed under the name Nicotiana tabacum (common tobacco). RNAcentral's name for it is "long non-coding RNA (NTAB_LNC013780)". The stretch from base 2055 to 2151 matches the Rfam family "MIR6152 microRNA precursor family". Lineage: Eukaryota; Viridiplantae; Streptophyta; Magnoliopsida; Solanales; Solanaceae. The record is from RNAcentral.